CAGUCGCCGCGGGAAUACGGAGGGGGCUAGCGUUGUUCGGAAUUACUGGGCGUAAAGCGCACGUAGGCGGCUUGGUAAGUUAGAGGUGAAAGCCUGGAGCUCAACUCCAGAAUUGCCUUUAAGACUGCCGAGCUAGCAGGUGAGAGAGGUAAGCGGAAUUCCGAGUGUAGAGGUGAAAUUCGUAGAUAUUCGGAAGAACACCAGUGGCGAAGGCGGCUUACUGGCUCAUACUGGACGCUGAGGUGCGAAAGCGUGGGGAGCAAACAGGAUUAGAUACCCCCGUAGUCCCUGUCUCUUAUAC
RNAcentral lists this ribosomal RNA (301 nucleotides) under uncultured bacterium. RNAcentral describes it as "partial 16S ribosomal RNA". It matches the Rfam family "Bacterial small subunit ribosomal RNA", at positions 509 to 807 of the family's 1533-position model. The record is from RNAcentral.